CGCUACCUGCAGUCGAGCGGCAGCACGGGUACUUGUACCUGGUGGCGAGCGGCGGACGGGUGAGUAAUGCCUAGGAAUCUGCCUGGUAGUGGGGGAUAACGCUCGGAAACGGACGCUAAUACCGCAUACGUCCUACGGGAGAAAGCAGGGGACCUUCGGGCCUUGCGCUAUCAGAUGAGCCUAGGUCGGAUUAGCUAGUUGGUGAGGUAAUGGCUCACCAAGGCGACGAUCCGUAACUGGUCUGAGAGGAUGAUCAGUCACACUGGAACUGAGACACGGUCCAGACUCCUACGGGAGGCAGCAGUGGGGAAUAUUGGACGAUGGGCGAAAGCCUGAUCCAGCCAUGCCGCGUGUGUGAAGAAGGUCUUCGGAUUGUAAAGCACUUUAAGUUGGGAGGAAGGGCAGUUACCUAAUACGUGAUUGUUUUGACGUUACCGACAGAAUAAGCACCGGCUAACUCUGUGCCAGCAGCCGCGGUAAUACAGAGGGUGCAAGCGUUAAUCGGAAUUACUGGGCGUAAAGCGCGCGUAGGUGGUUUGUUAAGUUGAAUGUGAAAUCCCCGGGCUCAACCUGGGAACUGCAUCCAAAACUGGCAAGCUAGAGUAUGGUAGAGGGUGGUGGAAUUUCCUGUGUAGCGGUGAAAUGCGUAGAUAUAGGAAGGAACACCAGUGGCGAAGGCGACCACCUGGACUGAUACUGACACUGACGUGCGAAAGCGUGGGGAGCAAACAGGAUUAGAUACCCUGGUAGUCCACGCCGUAAACGAUGUCAACUACCCGUUGGGAGCCUUGAGCUCUUAAUGGCACAGCUAACGCAUUAAGUUGACCCCCUGGGGAGUACGGCCCCAAGG
This 850-nucleotide ribosomal RNA is filed under the name uncultured bacterium. RNAcentral describes it as "bacterial SSU rRNA". It matches the Rfam family "Bacterial small subunit ribosomal RNA", at positions 49 to 893 of the family's 1533-position model. The record is from RNAcentral.